RNAcentral lists this ribosomal RNA (497 nucleotides) under uncultured bacterium. RNAcentral's name for it is "partial 16S ribosomal RNA". It matches the Rfam family "Bacterial small subunit ribosomal RNA", at positions 28 to 507 of the family's 1533-position model. The record is from RNAcentral.
GAUGAACGCUGGCGGCGUGCCUAAUACAUGCAAGUAGAACGCUGAAGCUUGGUGCUUGCACCGAGCGGAUGAGUUGCGAACGGGUGAGUAACGCGUAGGUAACCUGCCUCUUAGCGGGGGAUAACUAUUGGAAACGAUAGCUAAUACCGCAUAAAAGUCGAUAUCGCAUGAUAUUGAUUUGAAAGGUGCAAAUGCAUCACUAAGAGAUGGACCUGCGUUGUAUUAGCUAGUUGGUGAGGUAACGGCUCACCAAGGCGACGAUACAUAGCCGACCUGAGAGGGUGAUCGGCCAAACUGGGACUGAGACACGGCCCAGACUCCUACGGGAGGCAGCAGUAGAGAAUCUUCGGCAAUGGGGGCAACCCUGACCGAGCAACGCCGCGUGAGUGAAGAAGGUUUUCGGAUCGUAAAGCUCUGUUGUAAGAGAAGAACGAGUGUGAGAGUGGAAAGUUCACACUGUGACGGUAACUUACCAGAAAGGGACGGCUAACUACGUG